This 799-nucleotide ribosomal RNA is filed under the name uncultured bacterium. RNAcentral's name for it is "bacterial SSU rRNA". It matches the Rfam family "Bacterial small subunit ribosomal RNA", at positions 712 to 1501 of the family's 1533-position model. The record is from RNAcentral.
GUGGCGAAAGCGCGCUUCUGGGGUGUAACUGACGCUAAUGGACGAAAGCCAGGGUAGCGAAAGGGAUUAGAUACCCCUGUAGUCCUGGCCGUAAACGAUGGACACUAGGUGUUGGUGGUUUCGACUCCAUCAGUGCCGUAGCUAACGCGUUAAGUGUCCCGCCUGGGAAGUACGAUCGCAAGGUUGAAACUCAAAGGAAUUGACGGGGGCCCGCACAAGCGGUGGAACAUGUGGUUUAAUUCGAUGCAACGCGAAGAACCUUACCUGGGCUUGACAUCUAUAGAAGCUUUGUGAAAGCAGAGUGUGCUCGCAAGAGAGCUAUAAGACAGGUGGUGCACGGUUGUCGUCAGCUCGUGUCGUGAGAUGUUGGGUUAAGUCCCGCAACGAGCGCAACCCUCGAGAUUUGUUGUUACAGACUGUAAAGGUGCUGAACCCUCAAAUUUGACUGCCGGUGACAAGCCGGAGGAAGGUGGGGAUGACGUCAAAUCAUCACGCCCCUUAUGUCCAGGGCUACACACGUGUUACAAUGGGACAGGACAACGGGUUGCUUUGCUGCGAAGUAUGGCUAAUCCUUAAACCUGCCCUCAGUUCGGAUCGUAGUCUGCAACUCGACUACGUGAAGUCGGAAUCGCUAGUAAAGGCGGAUCAGAACGCCGCCUUGAAUACGUUCCCGGGCCUUGUACACACCGCCCGUCACACCACGAAAGAAGGCUAUGCCCGAAGUCGGUCAGCCAACCCUUUGGGAGGCAGCUGCCUAAGGUAGAGCUUUUGAUUGGGGUGAAGUCGUAACAAGGUAACC